GACGGCCUUCGGGUUGUAAACCUCUUUUAGCGAGGAAGAAGCGAAAGUGACGGUACUCGCAAAAAAAGCACCGGCUAACUACGUGCCAGCAGCCGCGGUAAUACGUAGGGUGCAAGCGUUAUCCGGAAUUAUUGGGCGUAAAGAGCUCGUAGGCGGUUUGUCGCGUCUGCUGUGAAAUCUGGGGGCUCAACUCCCAGCCUGCAGUGGGUACGGGCAGACUAGAGUGCGGUAGGGGAGAUUGGAAUUCCUGGUGUAGCGGUGGAAUGCGCAUAUAUCGAGAGGAACACCGAUGGCGAAGGCAGAUCUCUGGGCCGUAACUGACGCUGAGGAGCGAAAGGGUGGGGAGCAAACAGGCUUACAUACCCUGGUAGUCCACCCCGUAAACGUUGGGAACUAGUUGUGGGGUCCAUUCCACGGAUUCCGUGACGCAACUAACGCAUUAAGUUCCCCGCCUGGGGAGUACGGCCGCAAGGCUAAAACUCUGAGGAAUUGACGGGGACCCGCACAAGCGGCGGAUCAUGCGGAUUAAUUCGAUGCAACGCUUACAACCUUACCAAGGCUUGACAUAUACGAGAACGGGCCAGAAAUGUCUCAACU
Molecule: ribosomal RNA, 597 nt
Filed under: Microbacteriaceae bacterium So3Pw_2804
Lineage: Bacteria; Bacillati; Actinomycetota; Actinomycetes; Micrococcales; Microbacteriaceae
Description: bacterial SSU rRNA
Rfam family: Bacterial small subunit ribosomal RNA
Source: RNAcentral